AAUGUUCAUCACUGUCUGGAUGGAGUCGCCUCUCUGAUCUAAAGGGAACUGUUACUACUUGAAGUUUGGGAAAGCUGUCAUCUGUUGACCGGUCACCUGACAGCCUUCAGACGGUAUCGUCUGGAGUCCACUGGCCUGGACAAGAUACUGGGAUCCUCAUUGCUGAGUUGGUCCCAUUCAGACUGAAUCCAGUUCUUUUGGAGCACGGUUGCGAUGCAGACGGCUUUUUAGACACCAGCCGGAAAAGUUCACCAACACAAUUCGUUUCAAGCUCCAGCUCUGGAAAGCACCAAAUGUAUCCGUGAGACUCUCUCGUUACUUCACUCAGUGGGCAUUAUGUUGACCCUAAUCUAAAUCCAUCAGCAACUCAUCCCUACCUUUCCCUCCCAUCUCCCCUCCCCA
This 402-nucleotide long non-coding RNA is filed under the name Cyclopterus lumpus (lumpfish). Its description in RNAcentral is "lncRNA (ENSCLMG00005003018.1)". Lineage: Eukaryota; Metazoa; Chordata; Actinopteri; Perciformes; Cyclopteridae. The record is from RNAcentral.